RNAcentral lists this ribosomal RNA (497 nucleotides) under uncultured bacterium. Its description in RNAcentral is "partial 16S ribosomal RNA". It matches the Rfam family "Bacterial small subunit ribosomal RNA", at positions 28 to 507 of the family's 1533-position model. The record is from RNAcentral.
GAUGAACGCUGGCGGCGUGCCUAAUACAUGCAAGUCGAGCGAACAGACGAGGAGCUUGCUCCUCUGACGUUAGCGGCGGACGGGUGAGUAACACGUGGAUAACCUACCUAUAAGACUGGGAUAACUUCGGGAAACCGGAGCUAAUACCGGAUAAUAUAUUGGACCGCAUGGUUCAAUAGUGAAAGACGGUUUUGCUGUCACUUAUAGAUGGAUCCGCGCCGCAUUAGCUAGUUGGUAAGGUAACGGCUUACCAAGGCAACGAUGCGUAGCCGACCUGAGAGGGUGAUCGGCCACACUGGAACUGAGACACGGUCCAGACUCCUAAGGGAGGCAGCAGUAGGGAAUCUUCCGCAAUGGGCGAAAGCCUGACGGAGCAACGCCGCGUAAGUGAUGAAGGUCUUCGGAUCGUAAAACUCUGUUAUUAGGGAAGAACAAAUGUGUAAGUAACUAUGCACGUCUUGACGGUACCUAAUCAGAAAGCCACGGCUAACUACGUG